UUUGCAUUGACCUCAAAUC
RNAcentral lists this ribosomal RNA (19 nucleotides) under Hyphoderma setigerum. Its description in RNAcentral is "partial 28S ribosomal RNA". The record is from RNAcentral. Lineage: Eukaryota; Fungi; Basidiomycota; Agaricomycetes; Polyporales; Hyphodermataceae.